GGGAGAUGAUGAGUUCUUAUUGGUCCGUGUUUCUGAAUUUACUGUGACUGAGAAACCAUUCCUACUUCUGAUCUC
RNAcentral lists this small nucleolar RNA (75 nucleotides) under Nelumbo nucifera (sacred lotus). RNAcentral describes it as "Small nucleolar RNA SNORD18". It matches the Rfam family "Small nucleolar RNA SNORD18". From Rfam's summary of the family: U18 is a member of the C/D class of snoRNA which contain the C (UGAUGA) and D (CUGA) box motifs. It is encoded in introns of ribosomal protein L1 in Xenopus and human, and in introns of elongation factor 1 beta in yeast. The record is from Rfam by way of RNAcentral. Lineage: Eukaryota; Viridiplantae; Streptophyta; Magnoliopsida; Proteales; Nelumbonaceae.